UGGGGAAUAUUGCACAAUGGACGGAAGUCUGAUGCAGCAACGCCGCGUGCGGGAUGACGGCCUUCGGGUUGUAAACCGCUUUUUCUCAUGACGAAGUUUUUUGACGGUAGUGGGGGAAGAAGCACCGGCUAACUACGUUCCAGCAGCCGCGGUGAUACGUAGGGUGCGAGCGUUGUCCGGACUUAUUGGGCGUAAAGAGCUUGUAGGCGGUUUGUCGCGUCGAUAGUGCAAACUCAGUGCUUAACGCUGAGCCUGCUGUUGAUACGGGCAGACUAGAGGAAGGUAGGGGAGAAUGGAAUUCCCGGUGGAGCGGUGGAAUGCGCAGAUAUCGGGAGGAACACCGGUGGCGAAGGCGGUUCUCUGGGCCUUUCCUGACGCUGAGAAGCGAAAGCGUGGGGAGCGAACAGG
RNAcentral lists this ribosomal RNA (408 nucleotides) under Fusobacteriota bacterium. Its description in RNAcentral is "Fusobacteria bacterium partial 16S ribosomal RNA". It matches the Rfam family "Bacterial small subunit ribosomal RNA", at positions 355 to 776 of the family's 1533-position model. The record is from RNAcentral. Lineage: Bacteria; Fusobacteriati; Fusobacteriota.